This 72-nucleotide transfer RNA is filed under the name Camelus ferus (Wild Bactrian camel). It matches the Rfam family "tRNA". Rfam says of the family: Transfer RNA (tRNA) molecules are approximately 80 nucleotides in length. The record is from Rfam by way of RNAcentral. Lineage: Eukaryota; Metazoa; Chordata; Mammalia; Artiodactyla; Camelidae.
GAGGGUGUAGCUCAGUGGUAGAGUGUGUGCUUAGUAUGCACAAGGUCCUGGGUUUGGUCCCCGGUAGCUCCA